AGUGAACGCUGGCGGUAGGCCUAACACAUGCAAGUCGAACGGCAGCACAGUAAGAGCUUGCUCUUACGGGUGGCGAGUGGCGGACGGGUGAGGAAUACAUCGGAAUCUACUUUUUCGUGGGGGAUAACGUAGGGAAACUUACGCUAAUACCGCAUACGACCUACGGGUGAAAGCAGGGGAUCUUCGGACCUUGCGCGAUUGACUGAGCCGAUGUCGGAUUAGCUAGUUGGCGGGGUAAAGGCCCACCAAGGCGACGAUCCGUAGCUGGUCUGAGAGGAUGAUCAGCCACACUGGAACUGAGACACGGUCCAGACUCCUACGGGAGGCAGCAGUGGGGAAUAUUGGACAAUGGGCGCAAGCCUGAUCCAGCCAUACCGCGUGGGUGAAGAAGGCCUUCGGGUUGUAAAGCCCUUUUGUUGGGAAAGAAAAGCAGCAGGUUAAUACCCCGCUGUUCUGACGGUACCCAAAGAAUAAGCGCCGGCUAACUUCGUG
Molecule: ribosomal RNA, 492 nt
Filed under: uncultured bacterium
Lineage: Bacteria
Description: partial 16S ribosomal RNA
Rfam family: Bacterial small subunit ribosomal RNA
Source: RNAcentral